AACGAACGCUGGCGGCAUGCCUAACACAUGCAAGUCGAACGAGAUCUUCGGGUCUAGUGGCGCACGGGUGCGUAACGCGUGGGAAUCUGCCCUUUGGUUCGGAAUAACAGUUGGAAACGACUGCUAAUACCGGAUGAUGACGAAAGUCCAAAGAUUUAUCGCCAGAGGAUGAGCCCGCGUAGGAUUAGCUAGUUGGUGUGGUAAAGGCGCACCAAGGCGACGAUCCUUAGCUGGUCUGAGAGGAUGAUCAGCCACACUGGGACUGAGACACGGACCAGACUCCUACGGGAGGCAGCAGGGGGGAAUAUUGGACAAUGGGCGAAAGCCUGAUCCAGCAAUGCCGCGUGAGUGAUGAAGGCCUUAGGGUUGUAAAGCUCUUUUACCCGGGAUGAUAAUGACAGUACCGGGAGAAUAAGCUCCGGCUAACUCCGUGCCAGCCGCCGCAGUAA
RNAcentral lists this ribosomal RNA (449 nucleotides) under uncultured bacterium. Its description in RNAcentral is "partial 16S ribosomal RNA". It matches the Rfam family "Bacterial small subunit ribosomal RNA", at positions 29 to 523 of the family's 1533-position model. The record is from RNAcentral.